Molecule: long non-coding RNA, 5498 nt
Filed under: Capra hircus (goat)
Lineage: Eukaryota; Metazoa; Chordata; Mammalia; Artiodactyla; Bovidae
Description: lncRNA (ENSCHIG00000004125.1)
Source: RNAcentral
AGAAGUCUGAAACCGAGGCGUCAACAGAGCCGCCUCCCUCCGAAGGCUGUAGGGGAGGGUCCUGCCUGCCUCUUCCGGCUCCUUGUGGCUCAGGUGUCCCUUGGUUCAUGGCCGCCUCCAUCCAGCCUCCGCCUUCACACCACCUCUCCUCGUGUCUCUUCCGUCUCUUAUAAGGACACCCGUCCUUGGACUGAAGCCCACCCAGCCCUGCUUCAGGAGGAGCUCAGCGGGAGACCCUUAGCCUAAUUACAUGCACAGAGAGGAGUCGAGAUGGUGGAAUAGGACACGGAGCCCAGCUCCUGCCGAAGAUACAGCCAAAAUGCAUCCCCACGUGGAAGAGUUCCCGGAGAAUACCUCACUGGACGCUGGCAGAGGACCCCAGACACCCCAAGGUGCAAGAAAGAGCUCCAUGUAACCGGCUAGGAUGAAAGCAAAAAGAGAAAAAGGAAUCGGGAUGGGACCUGCACCUCGAGGAGGAAGCUGGAAAGGAGGAAAGGUCCCCCCACCAUGGGGAGCCCCUUCUCGGGUGGGGACCUUAGCAGGAACAGAGGGGGAGCCUCGGAGGCUCGGGGGAGACCACAGCGGCCGGUUGGUGGCAGCCAGAACAGAGAGCCGCACAGAGGUUCCACGCCACCUCAGUGUGGUCUCCAGCCCGAGACUUGCGGCUGCUGGUACCUGCGGGGCUCGGGACUGAAACUCAGGCUUCAGAGGACUGACCUGUGAAGAGGACUGGGGUUAGAGACAGCCUGCAAAGGGCCGAACUGUGAUGCUGAAACCGCACAACUCAGACUGGGAAUCAAAACCACUGUCUUCAUUGAGACUGCACGCUCAAGUUCUUUAGUCUCAUCACCGGAGGAAUUCCAUGAGCAGCAGCGAUAGGCGCUGCCUCCCCCUGUCCUGUGAACAGUUCUGCUUGGACGUCCUGUAGCCAGUCAACACAGAUGCAAUAUGGAAGGGACACCCGCCCACCAAGCUGAAGUGGAUAUUCAUUCAUCCUUGACUUGGGUCACUCUGCCUCCAAAGCCCAGCAGCUGCCAGACGAGUAACCCAUUCUGCAGAGGGACUCACACAAGGUGGCUCUGCCCUCAGAGAGCCAGGACCUGGACCCGAACGGCUGCAACGCCAUCCUUGGAGGAGGAGAGGAGCGGCGCCGCCCCAUGCGGCCUGCUCCAGCCGCCCCCAGGAGGACGGGGAAAGGAGAGCCUGGCUGUAUUGCUGGCUGUAAUCAGCCGCCAUGAGACCCACCCCGAGCACCAAGGAGAACUGGAAAGGGAGGCCUGUCCACAGAGGUGUGACUACCCAGGGGGUGAGCACGUGUGUCAGUGACAGAGAAGGAGCUACAGGUAAGUGGAGUGAAGGCUGGCGGUGUUCUGUCACGAUGAAGGUUCUGCCUGUGCCUUACUUUGCCAGUGAGGCUUCAUUUGUGUUGUGGUCCGUGCACAGGUCUGGCCCAGCUGAUCACAAACUUGGUUCAUCUCUGUUUUUAUAGCAGGGGAACAAAGGGAUGGGGUAGACAUCUCACUGUCAUCUGCUGAUUAGGUGUAGUGUGCCUACUUAAAUGGAGAAGCAAAAGAACAGGAUAACCUUGUGUAAGACAUAAAGGGACAAGACACGCUGCCGCGGAAGUCUCAAAAAUUCUGCAGCAUUUGCACCAUGGCAGGAAGGGUGAUAGGGUCGGGUGUGAUCGGCUCCUGCAUUCUGAGGCCCUUCGGGCUUAUCUUGUUCUUUUGUCCUCUGGGCAUCACAGCUUACACUCUGUGAAAUGGGCAGCACAGUAGAGGCCGUUCUUUCCACUGAGCCAGGGGAGGGAGGUCCAGAGUGGUGAUUUCUGUGAAUGACUAGGCGGCGCCAAGAGCAGGACGCCAGCAGAGUCCUUGUGCUUUCCUAACAGGUAAGGGAAGGGAGGUCAAGAAGAGAUGAGGAAGAGGAACCAUCAUUGAGGAGCCGUCAUUGAGGUCCUACAGUUUAGGAGGCUUUGGGCAGCACGGAGCAGAAAACUCCAGGUUCAAGGGACUAUUCGCCCUUGAAAACAAAAAAUAACUAGACUGAGGCAGCCUGAAGCUGGCACUCCUCUGCCACACCCCCGUCCAGGUGUCAGCAUCACCCGAAAGCUGGCAGUAAGGUGCAGUGGCAGUACCACCCGUGCCCAGCAGAGAGGGACCUGCCCUCUCGUAGGAGUGAGGAGACGGCCAAGGAGCCCCUGCAGGAAUUGUGCUCAUGGCCCACCACCGACACUCAGCCCCCAGCUCCUUCCUAAACCCUCACUGUCAGAACCACUGUCUUAGGAAUCAGGAAUUCCAGCUGGCUCUGAGAAUGGGACCCCUCUCCCUGAAUCAGGCAGAGGAGGAGAUGCCUGGAUAAAACCUGGGCUCAGUAGCAGGAAGGAUGUGGGGAGAGGGACGUCAGCCCUCAGACAGCUGCCACCCUCGAGGCACGCUCUGGUCUGUCAGCCAGACCUGGGCAGUUUCCUCGAUCUGUUUCUUCAUCUGGAUAUUGGGAACGAUGCUCCUGUAAGGUUGCCGACAAGAGGACAGAUUCUCGACAGCUGCACAUUGCUUUCACUAUUAUGAAGAUGCUUUGUUGCCAGUCUCCUGGUUUCCCUACACUCUAAACCCUCCUCUGAGCCUCUGGUCACCGGUGUCAUUCGUGAGCCAAAGCCUGGCUGGCUGUUUCCUCCAGACUCAGGAAGCUUGCUCCCACCUGGGCCACAAGGAAGUGCACUUCGGUCCCCAUUAAGCAAGACUCAGGAACAUUGGCUCCACCUGAUAAACAGUUCAAACAGAGGCAGCGCGUGAGGAUCAACUCUGGAACGUCUCAGUUGCUUCAGAACGUACUGCUCCCCAGCUCACACGUUCAUUCAUUUGGUUGUUCAUUCAACAAACAUGCCCUGAGCGCUGACUGCAUGCUGGGGAGUAAACUGGGCACCUUGAACACUCAGCUGCUAGGCUGAGUCUUUUUUUUUCAAUUGGUUUACAAUGGUUUUCAAUUGGUUUUUUUUUUUUCAAAUUGUUUUACAAUGUUGUGUUGGUUUCUGCCAUACAACAAUGUGAAUCAGUUUUAUAUACAUAUACAUGUAUCCCCUCCCUCUUGAGCCUCCUUGCUCCCACAUCCCAUCCUACCCCUUUAGGUCAUCACAGAGAGCCAGGCUGGGCUCCCUGUGUUACAUAACAACUCCCCACUAUCUAUCUGUUUUACACACGAUGGUGUAUAUAUGUUGAUGCUACUUUCUCCAUUUGUCCCACUCUCUCCCUCCCACCCUGUGUGCACAAGUCCAUUCUCCAUCCUUGCAUCUCCAUUCCAUUCCUGCAGAUAGGUUCAUCGGUACCAUCUUUCUCAGUUCGUCCCACCCUCACCUUCCCCUGCUGAGUCCACAAGUUCGAUCUCUCCUAGGUUCAUCAGUACCAUUGUUCUAGAUUCCACAUACAUGUGCCAAUGGGCUCGUUUUUCUUUUUCUGACUUCACUCUGUAAAACAGGCUCUAGGUUCAUCCGCUUCACUACAGCUGACUCCAGUUUGUUCUUUUUUGUGGCUGAGUAGUACUCCAUUGUAUGUAGGUACAUCUUCUUUAUACAGUCGUCUGUCAUUGGACGUCGGGGUUGCUUCCGUGUCCUGGCUGUUGUAAAUAUUUCUGCAGUGAACGCUGGGCUAUGUGUGUCAUGUGUCUUACAGUCUUACGGUUUUCUCAGGGUAUAUACUCAGUAGUGGGAUUGCUAGGCCAUAUGGUAGAUUUAUUCCUCGUAUUUUAAGGAAUCUCCAUACUGUUGUCCAUAGUGGCUAUAUCCGUUUACAUUCCCACCAGGAGUGCAGGAGUGUUUCCUUUUCUCCACAUCCUCUCAAGCAUUUAUUGUUUGUAGAUUUUUUUGAUGAUGGACAUUCUGACCCGUGUGAGGUGACAUCUCAUUGCAGUUUUGAUUGGUGUUUCUCUAAUAAUGAGCAGUGUUGAGCAUCUUUUCAUGUGUUUCUUGGCCAUCUGUGUGUCCUCUCUGGAGAAGUGUCUGUUCAGGUCUGCCCAUGUUUUGAUUUGGUUGUUUCUCUGAUAUUGUAGGUUGAAUCUUUAUGGGAAGAACAGGCUUUUUUUUUUUUUAAUAUCUUUGGCAUUUUUGAAGCAUUCCUGUCUUGAAAUGAAACAGAAAUUGUCUCAUUUAGAAAAUAAUUCCUUUCCUCCCACACACCCUGAGACAAGGUGUCAGGUGAUGUUCAGAUUUUCCAAGUACAAAUCACCUUUAGGUCAAAGCCCAAUAACUCAGUGGAAGUAAAGGGAAAUUUCUUAGGGCUGUGCUCAUAGUGGUUUUGAAUGGAAACAUCUUGACUGUAACAGCAUCAUGGUUUAAUUUCACACUAGAGAAAGGAAGAGCCGCUGUUAACCUCAAAACGAGGAAGACCAUAAUAGUCACCAAAAGAGAAAAAAACAACAAUAAAAAAACCCCAGUCCCCUAAACCAGAAGCCCCUGGUCACAGGCUGGCCUGGAAACAUGUCAGGAAUUUUUCCAAGGACAGAUACCUGGAGUCUGACCCACCUCUCCUCACCCCAGGAUGGCUGAGAGCUCGGCUUUCAGAGAACAUGGGCUGAGUGGGAAUGGGGCACAGGGAAAUGCCAGCGAAGACGCUGGCAGAAGCAAGUCAGGAGGAAGUGGCUUUGUGAGUUGUCGACCUCACAGCAGGCCGAGCAGCAGAAACUGAACCAUGCCGGGUACAGAGCUAUUUUCAGCCUUGGGGUUUUCACCCCCUGUCCCCACCAUUCUGGGCAGUGUAGCUCCCAUAUGAUACGGUCAGAGCCGUGGACUCGGGACAGAAGACAAGGCAGGCCUGAGAAGCAGAGGCAGCAGGGUUGCCCCAGUGGCGCCUCCCCACCGUGGAACCUUGGGCUCCUGAGACCCACUUUCCAGGCUUUUGCUUCCUCCCCUGCUCACUAAGGACCUGAACCAGUGUCCUCCUGCUGUAACACAUGACCCCAAACUUAGCAGCUUAAAAGAAUACACACUGGGACUGCCCUGGUAGUCCACUGGCUAAGACUCCGGACUUCCAAUGCAGGGGGACAGGUUCGAUCCCUGGCCAGGGAACUAGAUCCCACAUGCCACAACUAAGACCUGGCACAGCCAAACAAGUAAGUAAAUAAGUACAAACACACGCACGCACACACACGCAUUCUCUCAUAGUUCUGGAGGGCAGGAGUCUGACACGGGCUCACCAGGCUAAAAUGAAGGUAUCUGUUGGGCUGGCUCCUCUUGGAGGCUGCAGGGAGAGCUUGUCUCCCUCCCUUUUCCAGCUUCUAGAGGUGCCACUGUCUGUGGCUCCAUCUUCUGAGCCAGAAGGUGGCAUCUUCUAGUCUCUGACUCUGACCCUCCCACCUACCCCUUUGAAGGACCCUUGUGAGGACAUGGGGGACACCCAGGGAAUCCAUGACUAUCUCCCCACCUGGAGGUCUGUAUUGUAUUCACAUCUGCCAAGUCUCUUUGGCCACGAAGGUCCCUAGGACGUAGACAUGUCAGGUCAUCUUCC